UGCGCGUGCACGAGGGCUCCAUUAAAAUAAAUUAUCAAGCGCGAAAGAUUGAGAGCCGUCGUCAAAUUCUUCACCGGUCCCAUUUAAAACGCCGCGAAUAAUCGGUGAUUAUUUUCUCAUUUCGGAUCCUCUGUGGUUUAUGGGUCAUUUUAAAAGGUUUUUUAAUUUCCUGUCGAGUGCGGAGUGCUCAGAUGUGUCCGUGUGUGCGCGCGAGGGAUUUGUGUUUUUGUUUUUACAGCGUGCUGUGCUCAGCUCUGGGCCCGUGUGUCAUGGAGGAUUUUAAUACGGAGCUCAUUUCCUGGAGCAGCUAAGAUAGAGAUCAAAGCCUGCUUGCUCUCACUGCUGAGUGUGGGACAGUCUGGGAGGGGAGAGGGUAGGGGAUGUCGCUCUGUGUCAAGCUCUCCUGACAGUCUAGAGUCUGCAUCAACAACAUCCUAAUCAAGACGUGAUGCUGGGGAGCGCUUUGAAGCAGCCAAUCUUUGUUCGCCGUGUAGUCGCUGUUAAUGUUUUUUAUUUAGUCAGGGUCCUCUGUUACAUUGCAGUCUCUGGGGCAAAUAGCAGCAUCUGGCUUCCCUGAGGGGAACGAGACGAGAACAGGGCUCUUCUGGGCCCUCAAACCGACACAACACUGCCACUAUCACCGUAAACUGUCCUAUCUGGAAUCAGGAGGGAUGUGGGAGAAAAAUAUGGGCGAUAUAAAAAUACUGGGCUAGAUAAGGUGUUGUAACUUGGGAAGAUGUGUGAAGAUAGAUGAAGGGAGGGACAUUUCCAUUGCAGAUUUCAUUCACAUAAAAUCAGGGAUGUAACCAAGGGCUAAAAUUUCAGUUUUCUUCAAUUGUACCUUCAAUUUCGAAUGCUUGAAUAUUGAAUCAGUUGCAUCUAUUUGUGAAAAUAUGUAUUUUACCCUCUAUACUUACAAAAAAAAUCACACCAGUUUAUGGAUUUAAAUUCAUAUUUGGGGAUGCAUGCAAAUAAAAGGUACAUAAAAAGUUGUUA
Cyprinus carpio (common carp) is the source of this 996-nucleotide long non-coding RNA. RefSeq lists it as uncharacterized. NCBI's taxonomy places the organism in Eukaryota, Metazoa, Chordata, Actinopteri, Cypriniformes, Cyprinidae. The record is from RefSeq and is a predicted model, not a curated record. The transcript is spliced from 2 exons.